GUAUAUUUUCUUAUUCCAUCCUUUGCUUCAUGUCAUCUUUUCCAAAGACAUCUUGUUGUGUAUCUUGUCAUUUACUACUUUUGGCACUAUGUACGUAAACCAUGCAGAGAGAAGUUGGUGUAUGAGUUAAAACUGUCAUCCAUGUCAUUCAUCAAGAAAUAAAUGCAAUUCUCUGUGCAUCAUUUUGGUGUGAUAAAAAUUUAACAUUCUUCAGUUGUGCUUGAGUUGCCAUUGAAUUUCUUGGAUCCUAAUCCUAUUUUUCAUGUUUGAUUUUGGAGAAAUGCAUCUGAAUUUAUUGGUUUUUGCUAUAUAGAUGUUCCAUGAUUAAUUUAUUGGGAUUUUAAAUUGAAUGUGUAGAUGCCAUGCCACAAUGUUUCCAUGGUUUUCAAAAUAAUCUUUUUCUUACUGUUGAUUGUCCUUGGAUUUUUGUAGUGUUGAUCAAAUAAUGAUUUUUUUUUUUU
RNAcentral lists this unclassified non-coding RNA (461 nucleotides) under Hevea brasiliensis (rubber tree). Lineage: Eukaryota; Viridiplantae; Streptophyta; Magnoliopsida; Malpighiales; Euphorbiaceae. The record is from RNAcentral.